Molecule: ribosomal RNA, 636 nt
Filed under: Stenotrophomonas sp.
Lineage: Bacteria; Pseudomonadati; Pseudomonadota; Gammaproteobacteria; Lysobacterales; Lysobacteraceae
Description: bacterial SSU rRNA
Rfam family: Bacterial small subunit ribosomal RNA
Source: RNAcentral
UAAGAGCUUGCUCUUAUGGGUGGCGAGUGGCGGACGGGUGAGGAAUACAUCGGAAUCUACUUUUUCGUGGGGGAUAACGUAGGGAAACUUACGCUAAUACCGCAUACGACCUACGGGUGAAAGCAGGGGAUCUUCGGACCUUGCGCGAUUGAAUGAGCCGAUGUCGGAUUAGCUAGUUGGCGGGGUAAAGGCCCACCAAGGCGACGAUCCGUAGCUGGUCUGAGAGGAUGAUCAGCCACACUGGAACUGAGACACGGUCCAGACUCCUACGGGAGGCAGCAGUGGGGAAUAUUGGACAAUGGGCGCAAGCCUGAUCCAGCCAUACCGCGUGGGUGAAGAAGGCCUUCGGGUUGUAAAGCCCUUUUGUUGGGAAAGAAAUCCAGCCGGCUAAUACCUGGUUGGGAUGACGGUACCCAAAGAAUAAGCACCGGCUAACUUCGUGCCAGCAGCCGCGGUAAUACGAAGGGUGCAAGCGUUACUCGGAAUUACUGGGCGUAAAGCGUGCGUAGGUGGUUGUUUAAGUCUGUUGUGAAAGCCCUGGGCUCAACCUGGGAACUGCAGUGGAAACUGGACAACUAGAGUGUGGUAGAGGGUAGCGGAAUUCCCGGUGUAGCAGUGAAAUGCGUAGAGAUCGGG